This 90-nucleotide ribosomal RNA is filed under the name Bacillus cereus. RNAcentral also lists the same sequence under 2 other names. The record is from RNAcentral. Lineage: Bacteria; Bacillati; Bacillota; Bacilli; Caryophanales; Bacillaceae.
GUCACACCCGUUCCCAUACCGAACACGGAAGUUAAGCUCUCUAGCGCCGAUGGUAGUUGGGACCUUGUCCCUGUGAGAGUAGGACGUCGC